Molecule: long non-coding RNA, 504 nt
Filed under: Olea europaea (common olive)
Lineage: Eukaryota; Viridiplantae; Streptophyta; Magnoliopsida; Lamiales; Oleaceae
Description: long non-coding RNA (OEUR_LNC013066)
Source: RNAcentral
AAACGAAAGCAAGUCAAAAACACAGAAGAAAAACAAGAGGCAGAAUCUAAUGGACAAGAAAGUACAUAAAAUAUUGCUGUCAUAAGAUAAUUGAAGAUUUUCUACAACCAAAAAAGGCUUAAUCAAGACUUCAAGCGUUCUGCAUGAAAACGCUAUUUUUCUCCACACAAGAUAUCUUGGUAUCAAACAUUGCAGUGCCAUCUCUGAAUACAUUGCUAUACCUUUCGAGAUUGCUUACCUUACCUUUGAAGAGUCCUUACCUUACUGAAAUAUUUUGAUUUGGGUCAUGAGAGGCGAGCGGCUAAAGUGAGCAGCGCCGGUGGUUAACAGAGAUAGACGAGAGUAAGAGCUAAGGCGCCGAGCGAAGUCGUGGAGAGGCAGAGUUGAUGGGGAAAUUUUGGAAAAAUGCCACAUAUAGGGCUUUGUAAAGUUGCAAAUUUUUUAUAAUACACGGCGUGAACUAAAAACACGCCCUAAAUACUCAUUUAAUACACCGUGCAGAGG